UGCAGCUAUCCCUAUUUUCAUAUUUUUGAGGGCUGUCUAACUUAAUUACGGAGUUUUCAUCUUCAUGGAUCUUUAACUCCUCAAGACCCUUGUCCUGCAGUUGAUUAAGAGGACUAGAAGCAACAGAAGCAAUUUCAUUCUCCUCAGCUUGAACAAAGUCCUUAGAUUCCCUCAAAGAUUUUUCAGGCUGAGAUGAAACUUUG
RNAcentral lists this unclassified non-coding RNA (203 nucleotides) under Hevea brasiliensis (rubber tree). The record is from RNAcentral. Lineage: Eukaryota; Viridiplantae; Streptophyta; Magnoliopsida; Malpighiales; Euphorbiaceae.